CUAUAUGGAAUAUUUCUGGAAUAUUAGAGCCUACAGAUUCUUUUAGAAGUUGAUAUCUGCCUCUCCAUUUUCACUACAUAAAAUGUACAAACAAAUUGGAUUGUAACAAAAAAUCUGGCAGACCAUAAUGAUUCAACCACUUGGAUUCUACAAACAAUACUUUAACAUGGAAAUGUGUACUUGGAUGAAGAAGAGAGAAGGCAAUGCCUGAUUUUUCCAUUUUGGAUCUACACAAUUUCUGUAUUGUUGGAAUUACACUCUUUGAUGGAAUGGGGAAAAAUUAAAAUGAUGGAUGUUUCCUAAAUCCUGGAAUAUAGCCAUUCUUUUCUAAUUGCUGGGAUAUAUGGGAUGUCUUGCUGUCAAGAUUCCACUAGCCCAGGGAAAGAGGAUUACUAUAUCAUUUCUUAAGCAAGUUGCUGUCCAAUCAAAGGUACUUUAGCUUUGAACACAUGGUGAUGAUCAGUUGUGGAUACAGCAAUCAAAAUUGACUGGGCUGGAUGGCUACAAAAGUGAACUAUUGGCGAGCAACUGUGCCUUCCUCAUUCGUUGGAAUUGUAGAGGAUAUUUCCUCUUCUGCCAGCUACCUGAUUCAUACUUAGGGCUGGAAAUAUUUAUGAAUGUGGAUAAAUUUCUAAUUGUCUGCUAUCUCAAGAAAGAAGUCUGGGGGUUUGAGAGUUACAGUUUGUCUGGGACUACUUGCUUCCAGUGGAAUUAUUUUGUCUGGUCACUAAGAUUUUUUUUUUCUUGUGGUUCAUCUAAAUAUCAUUUGACACCCUUGCCCAUUAAGAAGGUGGAUUACCCCCAUAAGAGGGGCCAAAAUUGGGGAAGUUAUGUUCACAAUUCUCUCCCUAGAUUUAAUUGGGAUUAUAGGUCGUGUUUCCACACUUGGAAAAGGGCUUCAGAUAACAGGGAGCGUGCUUAUGAACAUAGUGCCUAUGGACACCAUGAACGGGGGACGGGAGGAUUUGAUCGGACAAGACAUUACGAUCAGGAUUACUAUAGAGAUCCUCGAGAGCGGACUUUACAACAUGGGCUCUAUUACGCUUCUCGGAGUCGAAGUCCAAAUCGCUUUGAUGCUCAUGACCCCCGAUAUGAACCUAGGGCUCGCGAGCAGUUUACACUGCCCAGUGUGGUACACAGGGAUAUCUACAGGGAUGAUAUUACCCGGGAGGUACGAGGCAGAAGGCCAGAGCGGAAUUACCAGCACAGCAGGAGUCGGUCACCACAUUCAUCCCAGUCUAGAAAUCAGUCUCCUCAGAGACUGGCUAGCCAAGCAUCUAGACCCACAAGGUCCCCUAGCGGCAGCGGCUCUAGAAGUAGAUCCUCCAGUAGUGAUUCAAUCAGCAGCAGCAGUAGUACCAGCAGUGACAGGUAGGUUAACAGCCUUUUGUUAUAACAGAUGAG
This 1404-nucleotide small RNA is filed under the name Pan troglodytes (chimpanzee). RNAcentral's name for it is "processed transcript". Lineage: Eukaryota; Metazoa; Chordata; Mammalia; Primates; Hominidae. The record is from RNAcentral.